RNAcentral lists this ribosomal RNA (497 nucleotides) under uncultured bacterium. RNAcentral describes it as "partial 16S ribosomal RNA". It matches the Rfam family "Bacterial small subunit ribosomal RNA", at positions 28 to 507 of the family's 1533-position model. The record is from RNAcentral.
GAUGAACGCUGGCGGCGUGCCUAAUACAUGCGAGUCGAGCGGACGGACGAGAAGCUUGCUUCUCUGAUGUUAGCGGCGGACGGGUGAGUAACACGUGGAUAACCUACCUAUAAGACUGGGAUAACUUCGGGAAACCGGAGCUAAUACCGGAUGAUAUUUUGAACCGCAUGGUUCAAAAGUGAAAGACGGUCUUGCUGUCACUUAUAGAUGGAUCCGCGCUGCAUUAGCUAGUUGGUAAGGUAACGGCUUACCAAGGCAACGAUGCAUAGCCGACCUGAGAGGGUGAUCGGCCACACUGGAACUGAGACACGGUCCAGACUCCUACGGGAGGCAGCAGUAGGGAAUCUUCGGCAAUGGGCGAAAGCCUGACGGAGCAACGCCGCGUGAGUGAUGAAGGUCUUCGGAUCGUAAAACUCUGUUAUUAGGGAAGAACAUAUGUGUACGUAACUGUGGACAUCUUGACGGUACCUAAUCAGAAAGCCACGGCUAACUACGUG